CCGGAUUCAAAUUCUUUCAUUGGAAAAUAUUACAGGAGGUAUUCUCUACUGCUAAUGAAGAUUUUACCCAAUUGAAUUGCACCCAUGGACUCAACAGAUCUCACUAAUCCUGAAACUUCAUGCAAUUAAACUCAGAAAUGUUUUCAAUAGUUUCUCACCCUCACAAGUACACUACUAUCAUCAGCUCUACACCUGCACUGUUAUUUUUCUCUUUCACUAAUCUAGCUCUCCUCUCUCUUAAUCUCCUUUCCAAUUGUUUUCCGAAUUUUCACUGCCACUCAUGAUUUGAAAAGUUAACCGCACUCUGUUGACAAGCAUAACUUGAGGAAAGAGCUGAAAAGGGGAAAGGCCCAGGUGUCGUUAUGGGCUUGAUAAUGGAAAGUGGUUUCAAGGAUAUGAUGUAAUGGGUUAUUGGGCGAUGAAGGUUGAAGAAGAAGAGAUUAGCUUAUAGUACAAGAACUCCUACAAAAAUAAGUUCUUUGUAUGAUUUAGGGAAAUCUUUCCAUGUUUAAGUCGGUAAAAAUGUUGGAGAAAUGCUGCCUUAAAAGAUGUGUGCUGUUCAUUAGAUAUAAUAUAUGAAGAUGAUAAAUAUAGAAGACAUGGUGUGGUUGGAUUCCUGGUUACAAUAACCUAGACUCAACUUGGGUGAUAUGAGUUCAAGAUUGCUUAAUUCGGAUCCAUGAUAUAUUUUUGUCGUGUGGGGUUCAUGGUUGGGGAGACUUCAACCUAAGCAAUAACAAUUUAGAGCUAGUAAUUAGUGAAAUAUUUAUAAGCAAAUUUGUUUAUUUUUUUCUUAGUAAUUGUGAUUUUUUUAUCAGCUCUGUAUUUAAAUUAAAUUUUAAAUAAACUAUCUACAUAUAAAUUGAUAUAUUCAUAAGAAUUUGUUCGUGUUAAGUUGUAGUUUUAACUUAAAAUCAUAAUCAAAACUUUUUUUUAUCCCAUUUUUGUUGUCUCGAUCUUAUUAAUGUUCAGAAUCUAUUAAUUAAUUUGUUAAUCAUUAUAAAGGCUAUUAGACUAGCAAACAACAAUAUCAAAACCCAUCUCUACGUUCAACACGAAGUGUGGUAGAUAGAUUAAGUCACCUUUAAGUUGUUCGUAUCCCUUAUUUGGCAUUGCGGCCCAGACAAGGUCGGCUAAAAUUUAUUUUUUUAAUUAUUUUAAUAUAAUGAUAUAAAAAAUAAAAAAUAAAAUUAAAAAAUUAAAAAAUAUUAUUUUGAUGUAUUUCUAAGUAAAAAAACACUUGAAAAACAAUUGUCACAACACUUUAAGCACUUAUUAGAGGCAGAUUAACAGUCCGUGCGACCUACGAGUUGAAUCUAAUUUUUUUUAUAUAAAAAAUAUUAAAUUGAUGCAAUUAUUUCUAAAAAAGCAAAAAAAAAAUAUAAGAUUUGUGUCAUUGACUCGAUUGAAUUUUAUAAACUUAGUAAAAAAGGGUAAAUAAAAUGAAACAAAUUGACAAUGAAAAACAAGUCAAAAAACUCGACUCGAGCUCAUCCGGGUUAGCAUGUUAAAUAUGUGACUUGGUUGUGUCACUAAGGUAUAACUUCAUCAAAAGUAAAUUGAAUAAAAUCAUGAAGUCAAACUAGUUUAACCCACUAAUCCCUUGAUCAUGGACAUAAGAUUGAGAUAAUUUCAUAAAAAUAAAAGCGAAAAAAAAACACAAAGACUAAUUUUCAAUCAAUCAAAUAUUGAAAGAUAAAAUUAAAAAAAAUUAUUUUUUAAAAAAUAAAUGUUGAAAGAUCUUCUCUGAUAAUGAAUAAAAAACUAAUUGAGAACACGAUAACCCCGUAGAAAGUACAAUGAAAAAAAAUUCAAAACUCAAUUUCUAAAUAAAAUAUUGAAUGAAGAAAUUAAAGAAAAAAUAUAACCCAAAACAGAUAAAAAAAAACCCUGACCUGAAUUCACCUGGGUUAGCAUGUAAAAUUUGUGAUCUAGUUGUGUUAUUGAGGUAACCUUGUCGAAAGCAAAUCGAAUAAAAUAAUAAAACUUAAUUAUCAAACAAUCUAAUUAAUGUUGAAGAGUGAGAUAACACUGAUUAUUCUCAAAAUCUAUGAGAAAGCCAAUAGAAAAUAAAAAAAAAUAACAAAGUCUAAUUUUCAAUUAAAUAAAUGAUGAAGGAUGAAACUGAAAAAAAAAGCUUAAAAAAAAAUCCAAGCAAACCCUAAAAAAUAUUUUAAACCUAAGUUAAUCUCUUAAAAUUACAACUUAUGAAAUCCUAGAUUUAAGCUUAAUCAAUAAGCUUAAUUCUUAAUUAAUUUAAUGUUGAAAGAUGAAACUGGAAAACAUAUCAAUUUAAAAAUUUUAACAAAAUAGAAACAAUAGUAAUUAAAAAAACAAUUAUCAAAUUUGAUAAGAAAACAAAAGCAUAAAAUGAGAGGAAAAAUUCUAACAAUGAGGUGAUAAAGAGUAUGUAAUUUUUAAAAAAAACACAACAGGAACUUUUCUUUCAACCCUUAUUUUAUAGUGAGUUUUAAAAGUUAAAACGUUAAAGAAUUUAUUAUGAUCAUAAUAAAAAUUAUUUAUUAGUAUUAUCAAUUUUUAAUUUAUCAUUAUAAAUCAAUCACAAUUUUUUUUGUUGAAAAAAUUGUUCAGAUUUUUGAAGGGUUAAUCAAACCGUGGAAAAAAGAACCAAUCUUCAAGUAAUCUUAAUAUAAAUUCUAAAAAGUCCUAAAUUGUUUAAAGAAAUCUUGAGACUCAUACAAAAUUUUAAAAUUAUUAUUUUCACUACAUUUAUGUGUUUUAAAAAACCUAACAAUUAUAAGAAAAAAAAUUUUGAAAGGCAUCAAUAAAACCAAGUGAUCCAAUAGAUAUUACACUGUUCAUUUGAACGACAUUUUUGCUCUUCUAUAAAAACUAACAAAGCUUUCAAUGGGAGGUAAAAUCAUCUUUUUCAGGAGAUCUAUUAGGCGUUACAAAAUUAAUUGGGAAUAAAUUAGUCAACAUACCUUUUUUGGCACAAUAAAAUGAGUUUGUUACGUUUAAAAUAAAAAAAUAAAUUUGUCUAAGGGUAUCAUUAUCUUUUUAAUAUUAUUUUUACAGUAAAAUUAUAUCGACACCCUUAAAAAACAUUAUCACCAGGGCCUUGAAAAAAAAAACUAGCACCAGGCUUUUUAUACUUUUCCUUUAUUGAGGCAAAAUACAAAAAAAAAAAAACUAAUUAAAAUAAUAAAUUGCAUCCUAAUCCGAUUGGAAAAAAAGGAUAGACCGGCUACUGAAAUAUAUCUCUAUUGGUUUUAAGAAUAUAAGACGGACAUUAACUACUUCAAGAAACCAAAGCAAUCGAAGUAUUUUUCCGAGUCGCAAACGGAAGACAAGAUCCCUAUAUAUUCACUCAACCAGCCUUACAAUUCUCUAUCCAAAAACAAUUCCUUCCCCGUGCUCCGUAGUCUCUAGUCAUCACCGAUCUUUCUUCUUUCAACCCCUUUUGUUGCAUAAACAUGGCCCGUUCUGUGAUUUUUCUGGUCGCCAUCUUUCUUUCUUUCUGCAUAUUGUCAUGCAUAGCACAACAACAACCAUGCACGACCUAUAAAUUUUCAAACAACAAACAGUUCUCUUCUUACAGCGACUUGCCUGUUUUGAGCUCCUCUCUUUACUGGAACUACCAUCCAUUAUCCAGCAGAGUUGAGGUUGCCUUCAGGCAUACUGGCGUGACCGGUCGCAGAUGGAUUGCUUGGGCUAUCAAUCCAACUUCAGGAGGGAUGAUUGGUUCCCAAGCAAUCGUUUCUUUUCAGAGAACGGAUGGAAGUCUUGCGGUCUAUACUUCGCCUAUAACAAGUUAUGGAACGCGAUUGGAACAAGGAAAUCUUAGCUUUCCUGUCUUGGAAUUGUCCGCUACUAAUCAGAACAAUGAGAUGAUAAUCUAUGCAAGCUUAGAGCUCCAUGGAAACAUCAGCACAGUCAAUCAUCUCUGGCAAGUAGGCCCAAUGUCUGAAAACACUCUAAUGAUGCAUAGUGUUGCUCCAUCCAGUCCCAACGUCAAAUCCAUGGGGAGUUUGGACUUCCUUUCAGGAAGGAUUAAAGCGACAAGAAGUUCUUCAACAACACUGAAAAAUGUCCAUGGAAUAUUGAACACAGUAAGCUGGGGUAUUCUAAUGCCUGUUGGGGGCGUCAUUGCAAGAUACUUGAAAAGGUUCGAAUCUGCAGGCCCUUUAUGGUUCUACUUGCAUGUCAGCUGUCAACUGCUGGCCUAUAUUCUUGGUGGUCUGUCUGGAUUUGGGACUGGAAUAUUUCUUGGCAUAAGGUCUCAUGGUAUGGAACAUAGCUGUCACAAAAUCAUCGGCAUUGUCCUCUUCUGUCUUGCAACAGCGCAGGUGUUUGGUGGUCUGGUCAGACCUGACAAAGAUAGCAAGUAUCGUCCCUUCUUCAACUGGUUCCACUUCCUUGCGGGUUGCUCAACACUUAUCCUAAGCAUAUUUAACAUAUACAAAGGAUUUGACAUAUUGCACGCCGCAAGAUUUUGGAGGCUUACCUACAGUGGUACAAUACUAACUUUGCUACUGGUCACGCUACUAUUGGAAAUAUGCACAAGAUGGUGCCUGCCGAUAACUAAGCAUUCGAUGUCAAAUACCGUGGACAAAAACACAUCCACUGUCGCUGCAGUAGCUGCAAUGGAGGUUUAGAUUUGGGAUGCGUAAUGCUGCAUUGGAACAUGCGAAAAAGAGGAACUUAUUGCAGGUGGUCAAGGAGCGCUACUAGUGGAGGAGGUUUUGAUGGAAAAUAUUUGAUCUAUACUGUUUUUAAUUAACCAGAAAGUAGUUUUUAUUUUUAAUUUUCUUGUUUAACAACUACCUUUUAUAUUGAAUAAUUAUUAAUUGAAUCCCUUUAUACUGAUUCUAUUAAGCUUGGGAUCACUAUUUGUUUUUCCUACUCUGCUAUCCCAUGCUGUACUGAUCUUUUAUGUUGGACAUCCUCAUCAAAGUUAUCUUUAUAAUGCUCGUGUGGUGGUGCCCUUUAAUAUUUUUUUUCGUAGAAUACAUUUCCACUUGAGGAAUGUGAUUAAUACAGGGUUAGAGAAGGUAGAGAAUUUAGCUUAUUGGUAUUGUUUAGCAGAUUAAGUAAUGAAAUGAAGAGUGAGGGUGUUGGACUAGGAAAGCAAGAGGAUGUAUUUGAUGGAUUCCUUUUGACUUUUCUUGGUAUUAAACCCGUUCUUUUGUGGUAUUAGAGCCAGGAUAGCUGCAUUGCAGAAUCUGACAACGCAGUUGUGAGGAAAAUUGGCACCAGGAUAUUGUUGAGGGAGGAAUGCAGUGGUUAUGGGGCUGGGAUGAAGGGGAUGAUAAUGGGUCAUACAAUUCCGGAAGCUGGGAACAAUGGGGUUUAUAAUAAUGGAACAUUUGAGAUUGAUGUGGAAUGUCAAAAGAUGUAUAAUGAGUUGCCUGACGUUUUGGAGAUCAACAGGAAUUCAGAGUUAUGAGAUAUGUCAUCAAAACCUUGGUAUCAGGAAAAAAAAAAAACAGAGCAAUUUCUUCUAUGGGUUCUUUUGUCUGAUCAGAUCUGAUGGAUUUUGGGGUUUUAAUUCUUUUGUAGUUUUGAUGGAGGUUUAUGUAGGGCUUGAAAGAUUUCAAAAGAAAAGAAGUUCAUAUCUUGAUGUUCAGAUUGCUUCCAAACAGAAAGUUGCUCGGAGUUUGUGUCUUGUUCCUGCAAUUUUUCAAGCGAAAAUGCAACUGGUUGCUGCCAAGAACAAGAAGAGCAAGGAAGAAAAUUGUUGCAACUAGUGGCUACAUGUUGUCUCUUCUUAAUAACGCGGUCCGAUGGCCAUGACAUUAUAAAUACGAUGCUCUAACCUCUGAGCUAAGCGGGCUCACAUAACAGAAAGUGCACAUGCAUAGGAUUUAGUUUGGCUGAGGAUCUGUUAUAUAUUGAAGUUGGGAAGUUCCUUUCCAAAUAUCCCCCUCCAGUACUUGCUGUGUCGUUUAAGUAGCUGUGUUUGGCAGGCACCAUGGAAUUGGUAUCAAAUCAACCAUUUGUCAUGUCUGGCAUGAGUUUGCGGCUCGCACCAUCUCCAUGGUCUCAAGAGACCAGUCAAAAUGUGUUAGCUUUAUUGUUAUUGGAUUAGUCUACACUCUAACGCUGAAUUCAUCAAGCAAUGUCUCAUGGGGCAUCCAAUUUGAAAGGAAAGGGGAUUAGUUACAGAGCUUUUGGCAUUUCCCACUGUGCAUAGCCUACCUACGGCUCAACUGACACUGGAGAGGAGCGAGAGCAGUAGAGUUCUACAAGUGAAACUUCGUGGCAUUAUGGAACAGCUGAAACAAGUAAGCGGAAAAGAACAUAUUUGAGUUUGAAUGUAGGAACAUUCUUAUUGAAGAUUAAGACUUUAUAGUUACUCUGCUUUCAUUUAACUAUGCAAAAUGAGAACCAAGAUAAAAGUAGAAACAUCAGCAAAUCAUGUAAAUGGACUUGCAGUUCUAUACAGCAGUAUCAUAUACAAUUUAUUCAAUAGACAUGGACUCCAGGAAAAAAUGUGUACAAAUUUGUUUCCUGUCAAAUGAAGGGAAGGUAGAAUAGGCUAGAGUUAAACCUGCUACCCACUCCCAAUUGGUAUAGGACCGCCUUCGCUGAUAUAACCAAUUUGUCAUAAAUUAUUUUUAAGGGAAAAUAUACAAUAUUUUACAACAAAAGACUGCAAAAUUGAAGAGUUAAGCAAAAAAAGCAAUCACCAUUCUGACGACCUUAUUUGUAUCAUGUGCUCAAAUAUUUUCCACGAAAAUGACCGCUGACAUGCGAAUUCAGAUUAUUGUUACUCUCCCAUGUUUUCAUUAUCAUGCCGAUCAAGUACAGUAAAAGUGCAAAAUCAAAAGUAGAAACAGCACAUUCACAAAUUAACCAUUCUCUUGUUUCUGAUCAUAUUAUUACACCAAGGAUCAUAUGGUCAACCCUUAGAUGGGAUGGCUGCCUCAGACUCUAAUGCCUAUCAAGUACAGUAAAAGUGCAAAAUCAAAAGUAGAAACAGCACAUUCACAAAUUAACCAAUCUCUUGCUUCUGAUCACAUUAUUACACCAAGCAUCAUAUGGUCAAGCCUUAGAUGGGAUGGUUGCCUCAGACUCUUCCUUGCUUUUCUGCUGUUCAAACUUAUCAAUAGCAGUCUGAAGUUCGUCUGUCCCUCCAACAGCUCUCAUGGUGUAGAAAUAAACCCCAAAAACAAAUGCUGACAAGCCUCCAGCAACUACCAGAUUCUUGGUCUUAGGUGCAAGGCUACUGAAUCCAGCCAUCUUGUAACCGAAACUUGUAGCAGAAAAUGUGUUAUACUGCCAAAGUUGCAGAAGUAGGAAAGGAAAUAUAUGAAUUAAUCUGUUUUUCUAGGCAUCUUGUGGCAAACAAAACAUGCUUCCAUGGAAGGGAAUUAUAGCACCGGAUUCAAAUUCUUUCAUUGGAAAAUAUGGAAAAUAUUACAGGAGGUAUUCUCAACUGCUAAUGAAGAUAUUACCCAAUUGAAUUGCACAUUGAAUUGCACCCAUGGACUAAACAAAUCUCACUAAUCCUAAAACUUCAUUGAAUUAAACUCAGAAAUGUUUUCGAUAGUUUCUCUCCCUCACAAGUACACUGCUAUCAUCAGCUCUACACCUGCACUGUUAUUUUUCUGUUUCACUAAUCUAGCUCUCCUCUCUCUUAAUCUCCUUCAUCAACCAUCAGUGCAUUGAAGAAAAAGAAAGGACCUUGAAAUUCAACAUGAAACGUAUUUUUUUCUUCAAAAAUGCACCUGCUAGCAACAUGUAAAAAUACCUUGAAAGUUGACACUGAAAAAAAAAGGCCCUACUGAUCAGUCUAGCUUCUGGAAUAAACAAGAAAGACAAAGGCCCUACUUGGUAAAGAAAUAGUUUGUUCUUUCAACACUUAUCAUUGCUCACACACACAUAUAUGUCCUUUCCAAUUGUUUUCGGAAUUUUCAAUGCACAUAUGAUUUGAUUUCUCAAAAUUUAAAGUUUUCAUUCAACUAUAUGAAUCACCAUUUGACAACCAGAACCCCAAUUCAACUUCUUUCCUUGGCAGAAAUGCAACAUAAACACUCAUUCCUCUUCACAACAAUAGUAAAGUAAUAACUCAUCGGCCUACUAUUAACGAUAAAAAACCCGAUCACACCAUGUAAAAAUCAGGGAAUCCAAAAUUCAAUAAAACACUCAUCAAUCCAACACUAGAAUGACACUUAAUCCACAGUUUGGCACCUCAAACCAGAGAAAAAUGAAGAAACAAAAUCUGGGUUUUGAACAUCAUGUUGACUUUUAACUUCCCAGCAGCUGAAGAUGAAAUUUUACUAAUCCAGACAGCUAAAUCAAACUAAAGUAGAAAAAUAAGCAACCAAACAAAAUACCAUCAAGAAAAUGAAUUCGAACAUCAAUAAGUUACAGCCUUGCAAAUUAAAAA
RNAcentral lists this long non-coding RNA (8356 nucleotides) under Populus trichocarpa (black cottonwood). RNAcentral describes it as "long non-coding RNA (PTRI_LNC004243)". The record is from RNAcentral. Lineage: Eukaryota; Viridiplantae; Streptophyta; Magnoliopsida; Malpighiales; Salicaceae.